Molecule: ribosomal RNA, 396 nt
Filed under: Bacillus sp. BC3(2011)
Lineage: Bacteria; Bacillati; Bacillota; Bacilli; Caryophanales; Bacillaceae
Description: bacterial SSU rRNA
Rfam family: Bacterial small subunit ribosomal RNA
Source: RNAcentral
CGGGAAGUGGGGUGGCAGCGUUAUCCGGAUUAUUGGGCGUAAGCGCGCGCAGGCGGUUUCUUAAGUCUGAUGUGAAAGCCCACGGCUCAACCGUGGAGGGUCAUUGGAAACUGGGGAACUUGAGUGCAGAAGAGAAAAGCGGAAUUCCACGUGUAGCGGUGAAAUGCGUAGAGAUGUGGAGGAACACCAGUGGCGAAGGCGGCUUUUUGGUCUGUAACUGACGCUGAGGCGCGAAAGCGUGGGGAGCAAACAGGAUUAGAUACCCUGGUAGUCCACGCCGUAAACGAUGAGUGCUAAGUGUUAGAGGGUUUCCGCCCUUUAGUGCUGCAGCUAACGCAUUAAGCACUCCGCCUGGGGAGUACGGUCGCAAGACUGAAACUCAAGGGGAAUUGACGG